This 24-nucleotide non-coding RNA is filed under the name Arabidopsis thaliana (thale cress). Lineage: Eukaryota; Viridiplantae; Streptophyta; Magnoliopsida; Brassicales; Brassicaceae. The record is from RNAcentral.
AAAUGCUUUCACCAAUCCGGAGGU